This 497-nucleotide ribosomal RNA is filed under the name uncultured bacterium. RNAcentral describes it as "partial 16S ribosomal RNA". It matches the Rfam family "Bacterial small subunit ribosomal RNA", at positions 28 to 507 of the family's 1533-position model. The record is from RNAcentral.
GAUGAACGCUGGCGGCGUGCCUAAUACAUGCAAGUCGAGCGAACGGACGAGAAGCUUGCUUCUCUGAUGUUAGCGGCGGACGGGGGAGUAACACGUGGAUAACCUACCUAUAAGACUGGGAUAACUUCGGGAAACCGGAGCUAAUACCGGAUAAUAUUUUGAACCGCAUGGUUCAAAAGUGAAAGACGGUCUUGCUGUCACUUAUCGAUGGAUCCGCGCUGCAUUAGCUAGUUGGUAAGGUAACGGCUUACCAAGGCAACGAUGCGUAGCCGACCUGAGAGGGUGAUCGGCCACACUGGAACUGAGACACGGUCCAGACUCCUACGGGAGGCAGCAGUAGGGAAUCUUCCGCAAUGGGCGAAAGCCUGACGGAGCAACGCCGCGUGAGUGAUGAAGGUCUUCGGAUCGUAAAACUCUGUUAUUAGGGAAGAACAUAUGUGUAAGUAACUGUGCACAUCUUGACGGUACCUAAUCAGAAAGCCACGGCUAACUACGUG